AAAAUUCAAGGGAAUCACUCACUAGGCCAUCAACUAUCCAGGUAAGACCCUGUCCUAAAACCUUCAUGCAAAUGAGUUAAAGUAAGUUGUGGGGUUAGAGAUAUACCAAGAAUGAGCCAAUAGGGGGUAGUAUGUAGGGUUGUUGAACUAUUCUAGGUAGAAUCUUGUUGAAAUUAUUGAGGGAGGAAGGGAUUACCAUUGUAGAAGCCUUAUGUUCGAUUUUGCAUGAUAGGUGUUUGACGAAAUUCCCAAGAGACUUAUAUCAUGAGAAUCCUUCUAAUUUUGAUUCAAACUUAUCAUCUUAUUAUAGAUAGAAAUUGCUAGGAGUAUUUGGACGUUGUAAUAACCUAAGUAAAGUUCAAGCGAAGUAUGUUAGCUAAACUUCUCUCUUAGAAUCGAAUCCCAUGAUGUUCUCGUAAGUUUCAAGUAUGAUGGGCCAAGCUNNNNNNNNNNNNNNNNNNNNNNNNNNNNNNNNNNNNNNNNNNNNNNNNNNNNNNNNNNNNNNNNNNNNNNNNGGNCCAAGCUUUUAUUCCUCAUUUUCCGAGUUAUUCCUUGUAAAUUUGACUAUUCCGAAUAAACUUGUAUCGAAAGAUACAUACUAAAAAUGUGUGCCAAAUGCUCUUACCAUAUUAUGUUCUCCUUCAGGAAUAUAUUCAAACGUGACCAUUGUGUCAAAAUAUUAUGACUUCAAUCAUGUUUCAAUUGUAAGUUAUUAUGCGAAAUUGUGGAAGAAAAUUCAAUGUUCUUAAGACUCUUAUUUGCUCAUAUAUAUAUACUUAAAAUCUUGAUUAGAAAUGCCUUAUUGUUGAUAAUCCAUGAUGAUGCUUGAAAGUGAGAGGGAUGAGAAUGAAAUGUGAAAUACGGCCGACGUGCCAAGAACGAAAUUACACUUGUGCCCACUAGUGCCAAUGAAAUAAAAAGUCGUGUGAAAGAUUAUGAAAUGAGCUGAAAAUUCUUUGUAUAAUAAAUGUUUUGGGAGUAUCUUUUAGUCACCGACACUACCAAAAAAACUGGAAUUAGCUACGAAUGGUGUCGUUAAUCUGUCGCUAAAACACUCGUAUCUAGAAGAAUUUCUUGAUAAUCCGUCGCUAAUUCAUCGCUAAAUGAGAUUAGCAACAGAUUUUUCUGUUUAGCUACAAAAUUUGUCCGUCGCUAAAACCUAAUUUUUUUAGUAGUGCGAGGAAGGGUAGGUUGAAAUAGCUAAACCCUGAAACUACAUGUGCGAUGUAGGAGAGGUUGAGGAGUAAAAUCCCCAUAUUGAUGUGAUGAGAUUAUUCCCCUUAAAUUGGAUGAGAUUGAUGUGUUAAGAUGAUUACCCUUAAUUGGUAUAAGAUGAUUACUAGCGGAAAGUGACGUUGACCCACACAACAUUGUGGUGAUGAGACACUUUAGCUGAUAGGACGACAUGUCGCGCACAUGCUGACGUUUAUGAUUGGAUGUCUUUGGGUGAGACAGCUUAGUCGGUCGGGACGUGAUCUGACUUCGGGCUAAAAAUACGAUGGUGUAAUCACUGCUAAAGAUCUCCUAACCUAAAACAUUGUUAUUUACUUGAAUUUUAUCUUUCUCUUAACUUGACAUUGUUAUAUUGUCUUGAGGCUCUCAUUGAUUGCAUGUUCUUUCUCAUUGAAUUGUUACUCGUUCUAUUGAGAUGUCGUUCUAUUGAGAUGGUAUUUAGUCUUACAUAUAAGUACUAUUCCAUAUGUACUAACGUCCCUUUUACUUUAGCGCUGCAUCUUUUAUGGAUGUCUGUGGUUCCACAACAUGCAGAAUUGAUCAAUGAUAGCGGUACGACCUCUUCUCAACUGACUUGGUAACCUCACUUCAUUUCGGGGUCAUGUAUCUUUUGUUCCUUGUGUAUAGUGCUUUGAGGUAUAGCUUGGCCUUGUUGCCAGCACCUCAUAUUAC
RNAcentral lists this long non-coding RNA (1905 nucleotides) under Nicotiana tabacum (common tobacco). RNAcentral describes it as "long non-coding RNA (NTAB_LNC013218)". The record is from RNAcentral. Lineage: Eukaryota; Viridiplantae; Streptophyta; Magnoliopsida; Solanales; Solanaceae.